Molecule: long non-coding RNA, 306 nt
Organism: Oreochromis niloticus (Nile tilapia)
Lineage: Eukaryota; Metazoa; Chordata; Actinopteri; Cichliformes; Cichlidae
Exons: 3
Source: RefSeq, a predicted model, not a curated record
AAAACAAAAUACUUGGCGCUCAUCCACAGACAACACUGAGGCCCAUUAUCUUCAGUAUGCUCGCCAAGCCAGCUUUGACAAAGGGGAAACUCAGCGUGGCCUCCUUUGUUGACCAGCGUAUUAUUCCAGCUGGGUAUCUGAUGAUGGCUUGGGUCUUACCUUCUGGAGGUAUUUGGCUGUGGCUGACCUUUGUGCAUCUUUGUCAUGGUUCCUGUUGGCCUGUGGGAUACCGAGAUUCCAGACAAACUCUUGCUGAAAGGACAGUGGCCAAACAUCUGUGUGCUGGCACUGAACAGUGACAAAGCU